This 686-nucleotide ribosomal RNA is filed under the name uncultured bacterium. Its description in RNAcentral is "bacterial SSU rRNA". It matches the Rfam family "Bacterial small subunit ribosomal RNA", at positions 54 to 745 of the family's 1533-position model. The record is from RNAcentral.
CAUGCAAGUCGAGCGAGAAAGUGACUUCGGUCACGAGUAAAGCGGCGAACGGGUGAGUACAACGUGGAUAAUCUACCCUAAGGUCCGGGACAACCCCGAGAAAUCGGAGCUAAUACCGGAUAAGACCACAGUAUCCGAGGAUACAGCGGUAAAAGAUUUAUCGCCUUUGGAUGAGUCCACGUCCCAUCAGGUAGUUGGUAAGGUAAAAGCUUACCAAGCCUAAGACGGGUAGCCGGCCUUAGCGGGUGAACGGCCACAUGGGGACUGAGACACGGCCCUGACUCCUACGGGAGGCAGCAGUGGGGAACAUUGGGCAAUGGGCGAAAGCCUGACCCAGCGAUGCCGCGUGAGGGAUGAAGGCCUUCGGGUUGUAAACCUCUGUCAGGAGGGACGAUGGGACACUUGUGUCUUGACGGUACCUCCAGAGGAAGCCCCGGCUAACUCCGUGCCAGCAGCCGCGGUAAUACGGAGGGGGCAAGCGUUGCUCGGAAUUACUGGGCGUAAAGGGUCCGCAGGCUGUCAGGCAAGUUGGUUGUGAAAGCUCAAGGCUUAACCUUGGAAUUGCAUCCAAAACUGCCUGACUAGAGUCCAAGAGAGGUUGGCGGAAUUCCCGGUGUAGCGGUGAAAUGCAUAGAUAUCGGGAGGAACACCAGAGGCGAAGGCGGCCAACUGGCUUGGAACUGACG